AAGUUCUUAUUCAAAAUGUCUAAGCACCGUGUCUGAAAUGCGUGGCCACAAAAAAGUAUGAUGUGAUCAAUAGAGGGCUGUUUGAUACAGUGUUGUUAGCACACUUCAGAAUGCAGUACCAGCUGUCCGGGAGCUUUCACACUGUUAUAAAUAUUCACAGACAAAAAACUGUCUUCAAAUAACAUUAAGACUCUGGCUUAAACCCACAAAGGCAAGCAAGUUCAGAGUUACCGCUGUUGGUCUGUCCCUCGCCCACCCCACAGGGCCUGGGGUUCACAGGGUUCUGUAGAAAUUGGCUCAGCCUCCCCAUCCCAGCACAGCUCCCCCCUCCAGCUGACCUCUGCCCUGGGGCUGGUUGUGACCAAAAGCAAGAAGCAUCUCCAGGGAAAUGACUGCCGUGGUUCUGCAUGCACAUGGCCACCAUGCAGACACAGGGCACAAAAGGUGGGUUUGAGGAGGAUGCUGUGGGCUCUCCUCACAGUGGUGGAGUAACCAAGAGGAGCCUGGCAGUUUAUGUUUGAGACCUUUAGGGGGCAGGGAGAGGCUCUGCUUGUCUUUUUGGACCGUCAGUAAAAUUGUAUGAAAUCAUACAGACUACAUCCUUGCUAAGAGUCCCCCUACCUGAUUCUCCAGACUUCUACAGGGAGGCUAAUAUAAUAGAGAGAGCAUUUUUAUGUUGUUAUGAAUGUCGUCAUCAUUAUUGUUGCCGCCCUUCAUUCAGCACUUACUAAGGAUGGUCCAAGCUAGGAGCUCUCACAUUUAAUCCUUAGAACAACCCUGGGGGUAUUAUUCCCAUUUCGUGUGUAAGGAGACUGUGGUUCAGAGGUGAAGUUUGCCCAAGGUCACACUGUCAGAGCCUGGCAAAGCCAGGAUUCCAUUCCAAGGUCACACUGUCAGAGCCUGGCAAAGCCAGGAUUCCAUUCCAAGGUCACACUGUCAGAGCCUGGCAAAGCCAGGAUUCCAUUCCAAGGUCACACUGUCAGAGCCUGGCAAAGCCAGGAUUCGAUUCCAGGUCCACCUACUUGCAGCAUCUGUGUUCUUACCGCUACAAUAUUUCAUACUACUGUCCUGAAACAAGUGUUUUGUUUUCCAAAAGAUGUUUGGGAUCACUUGCUUCAUUAUCCCUACGCCCCUCAAAUGUACCACUCUAAUAAGGGCCUUUGUCUAGCUCAACAGUUUUUUAAAAAUUGAAAGCAGUUUUAAUUUUAUGAAGUCAGAAAGGACCUCUCAUUAACUUGAAAUGGUCAAAGGAAUUGAUUCCUUCCUUUUAAUUGCAAAAUAAUUUGCUCUGACUAAGCAUUUAAAUUCUUAGUUUCAGCUGAGAGUGAAUUUUUAACAGCUGAGAUUCAAGUCCCGAAAUAAAAGUCCUGUAGUGUAAAUUCAGAUAGACUUAACUGCGGUCUGUUGCACCCUGCCAGAGACUGGCAGCUGGAAUUCUUUACUUGGCUGUUAUUUAAGUCCCUAAAUAUACCUUUUUAUCUUCUAUCCCAGUCGCAUGUAACUGAGUUGGAUUGCAGGUAUAAAAUGGAGUGGCAGGGAGGGGGGAAUUCUCUCACCAAAUUUUCCCUCCUUGAUGACUGGCUCCCGGGCUCUGGCUGGCAUUAGAAUAUUACUUAAAGCAAAGAACAGGGUCCCUCCUCAUGCAGAGGACAGAUGUGCUUCACCGGUCACAUCUGCUCUCUGCAGACCAUUGCCUCCCUCCUCAUACACGUAAGCACUGGGCCUCAAGAAAAUCCCCUUUUUAUGAUAUGUAACAUUUCUGCAAAUAACCAGUUACACUCAGGUUUUUUGAUGUUGUUCAAAGGUUCGCUUAAACAAUCUAGAUCUCUCUCCCUCCACGCCAUCUCCCUUUUCUUCCCUUGAUAGUGUCUAAAGCCGAUCUUCCCCUCCCCUUCUCCUCCUCCCCGGCCAGUCUUUUCAAGAAUAGCUUCAGCAAAUAAUGUUCUAUAGAGAGUGUCAGUACAUUUCAGGUGACGCAAAUGGUGAAGGCAUUUUAUAGAAAUGUGGCUUGUCACCAUCGGACUGUUGACAGAUCUAUUAGUAUACCCUUUUCAAUUUUCACUUUUCCCCCCUUCGAUCUUACAGAUUUCUACAGACUUGAUAUUUUGCAGUUGUUCUUGGAAGAGCUAUUUUGUAAUUGAAACUCCAGCGUUGUUCAGUCCAGACAGGACUUGGUCUUCUUCAGUGCUCUCCAGCUCCCUUUCUCGAGCUAUUCAGGAUUUGGCUUCGUCUGACCUC
This is a non-coding RNA of Equus caballus (horse), 2238 nucleotides long. The record is from RefSeq and is a predicted model, not a curated record. NCBI's taxonomy places the organism in Eukaryota, Metazoa, Chordata, Mammalia, Perissodactyla, Equidae.